This 441-nucleotide ribosomal RNA is filed under the name uncultured bacterium. RNAcentral's name for it is "partial 16S ribosomal RNA". It matches the Rfam family "Bacterial small subunit ribosomal RNA", at positions 338 to 795 of the family's 1533-position model. The record is from RNAcentral.
CCUACGGGAGGCUGCAGUGGGAAUAUUUGGCAAUGGGCGCAAGCCUGACCCAGCAACGCCGCGGGAAGGGAGGAGGCUUUCGGGUUGUAAACUUCUUUUAAGAGGGAAGGGCAGGAGACGGUACCUUUUGAAUAAGCCACGGCGAACUACGUGCCAGCAGCCGCGGUAAUACGUAGGGGGCAAGCGUUGUCCGGAUUUACUGGGUGUAAAGGGCGUGUAGCCGGGCUGACAAGUCAGAUGUGAAAUCCCGGGGCUCAACCACGGAACUGCAUUUGAAACUGUCGGUCUUGAGUAUCGGAGAGGCAGGCGGAAUUCCUAGUGUAGCGGUGAAAUGCGUAGAUAUUAGGAGGAACACCAGUGGCGAAGGCGGCCUGCUGGACGACAACUGACGGUGAGGCGCGAAAGCGUGGGGAGCAAACAGGAUUAGAUACCCUUGUAGUC